Molecule: ribosomal RNA, 474 nt
Filed under: Haematococcus lacustris
Lineage: Eukaryota; Viridiplantae; Chlorophyta; Chlorophyceae; Chlamydomonadales; Haematococcaceae
Description: SSU rRNA
Rfam family: Eukaryotic small subunit ribosomal RNA
Source: RNAcentral
CUCCAAUAGCGUAUAUUUAAGUUGUUGCAGUUAAAAAGCUCGUAGUUGGAUUUCGGGUGGGUUCCAGCGGUCUGCCUCUGGUAUGUACUGCUGUGGCCUACCUUUCUGCCGGGGACGUGUUCCUGGGCUUCAUUGUCCGGGACUCGAAUUCGGCGAGGAUACUUUGAGUAAAACAGCGUGUUCAAAGCAAGCCUACGCUCUGAAUGCAUUAGCAUGGAAUAUCACGAUAGGACUCUGGCCUAUCUUGUUGGUCUGUAGGACCGGAGUAAUGAUUAAGAGGGACAGUCGGGGGCAUUCGUAUUUCAUUGUCAGAGGUGAAAUUCUUGGAUUUAUGAAAGACGAACUUCUGCGAAAGCAUUUGCCAAGGAUGUUUUCAUUAAUCAAGAACGAAAGUUGGGGGCUCGAAGACGAUUAGAUACCGUCGUAGUCUCAACCAUAAACGAUGCCGACUAGGGAUUGGCAGGUGUUUUAUUG